Molecule: non-coding RNA, 70 nt
Organism: Dipodomys ordii (Ord's kangaroo rat)
Lineage: Eukaryota; Metazoa; Chordata; Mammalia; Rodentia; Heteromyidae
Source: Rfam
GGGAAUGUGGCUUAGUGGUAGAGUGCUUGCCUAGUAUGCAUGAAGCCCUCGGUUCAAUUCCUCAGUACCA